GACGAACGCUGGCGGCGUGCUUAACACAUGCAAGUCGAACGGAAAGGCCCUGCUUUUGUGGGGUGCUCGAGUGGCGAACGGGUGCGUAACACGUGAGUAACCUGCCCUUGAUUUUGGUAUAACUUCAGGAAACUGGGCUUAAUCCCGUAUAGGAGCCCCUCUUCCAUGGUGGGGGUUGGAAAUUUUCGGCGGUUGGGGUUGGACUCGCGGCUUUCCAGCUUGUUGGUGGGGUAGUGGAUUACCCAGGCUUUGACGGGUAGCCGGCCUGGGAGGGUGACCGGCCACAUUGGGACUGGGAAAGGGCCCAGACGCCUAAGGGAGGCAGCAGUGGAGAAUAGUGCACAAUGGGCCGAAGCCGGAUGGAGGAACGCCGCGUGGGGGAUGACGGCCUUCGGGUUGUAAACGGCUUUGGCCUGUGACGAAGCGUGAGGAAGGGUAAUAGAGAAAGAAGCACCGGCUAACUACGU
This 467-nucleotide ribosomal RNA is filed under the name uncultured bacterium. RNAcentral describes it as "partial 16S ribosomal RNA". It matches the Rfam family "Bacterial small subunit ribosomal RNA", at positions 28 to 506 of the family's 1533-position model. The record is from RNAcentral.